UGAGCAAUCUGCCCUUCUCUUUGGAAUAAGCGUUGGAAACGACGUCUAAUGCCGAAUACGACCUCCUUUCGCAUGAUCGAAGGUGGAAAGCUCCGGCGGAGAAGGAUGAGCUCGCGGCCUAUCAGCUAGUUGGUGUGGGUAAUGGCCCACCAAGGCGACGACGGGUAGCCGGCCUGAGAGGGUGACCCGGCCACACUGGGACUGAGACACGGCCCAGACCUCCGUACGGGAGG
RNAcentral lists this ribosomal RNA (233 nucleotides) under uncultured bacterium. Its description in RNAcentral is "partial 16S ribosomal RNA". It matches the Rfam family "Bacterial small subunit ribosomal RNA", at positions 118 to 347 of the family's 1533-position model. The record is from RNAcentral.